RNAcentral lists this unclassified non-coding RNA (200 nucleotides) under fungal sp. RNAcentral's name for it is "partial internal transcribed spacer 2". Lineage: Eukaryota; Fungi. The record is from RNAcentral.
UUAAGUUCAGCGGGUAUUCCUACCUGAUCCGAGGUCAACCUUUUAGAUAUAGACCGAAGUCUAGGUUUUACGGCCGGGAAACCCCCCACGGACCUCCUAAGCGAGAAUUUUACUACUGCGCUCGGAGCCGCGGCGGGUCCGCCACUGUUUCUAGGAGCUUCCCGCGAGGGAACGCCCCGACGCCAGGCACCAGGGCCUGA